UUUCAUCAAACUUCCUUUCCUCCUUUCCAUUCAACCAAUGAAUUCCUUGAAAAUCUCUUGAGCAAUAAGAUACAGUUAACUUGGCAAAGGGCUUCGACUUCAACAUCUCGACCCAAUCGAGGAGGUCCAAACCGCGGCAAUCUCCCAAUUUCCUCUCCCCCGCUUCGUUGUUUGAAACCUGCAUUCUUCAUUUCCUCUGCAAUCAUGAAGCUUGUUAGGUUUUUGAUGAAGCUCAACAAUGAGACUGUCUCAAUCGAGCUAAAAAAUGGAACUGUUGUCCAUGGCACUAUCACAGGUGUGGAUAUCAGCAUGAAUACACAUUUGAAAGCUGUGAAGCUUACUCUAAAGGGGAAAAAUCCAGUUACCAUGGAUCAUUUAAGUGUGAGGGGUAACAACAUCAGAUAUUAUAUUCUACCUGACAGCUUGAAUCUUGAGACUUUACUUGUUGAAGAGACACCCAGGGUCAAGCCCAAGAAACCAACUGCAGGGAGGCCUUUGGGACGUGGACGAGGACGUGGCCGUGGCCGUGGUCGUGGGCGUGGACGCUAGAUGGACUAGAUUUGUUGCAGUUGUUUCAAUUUUUGGGACCUGUAGUGUAAACACUUGCAUUGUCGGGAAGGAUUAUGAAUUUUGGGACACGAAAAAGUGGGUAUUGAUAUGAUGUAAGACUCUUUGGGGCGAUCUCUUCUAGCUUGAAAUAAAAGUGGCAGACUCCUUUAGAGCUCUUUCAUCCAUUUGCUUUCUUUUCACUUCUCAUACAAACAAUUCACCGUGGGUUUCGUAGAGACUGAAAUCUGAGCUUAUCCUCAGCUUUGGACUUGGUGUUGAGUAACAACAAUUAUAGGUUGAGGGAUCAAACCUUUGACCCUUAGAACGAAAGUCAUGCUAAUUACUGUUAAGUUAAGUUUAUUUUGGCCUUUGAACUUAUUCUUUAAGACAUUAUGUAAAGUACAAAGAACUACUAAAACAUUAUCUAGUCCAGAUUUUGUUUUCUUACGUUAGACUGGUUUGUUCCCUUGAUAAGGAAACAUAAAAGAGGCAAAUUAUAGGUUGAAUAGUUCUUAAUGUACAAGUGAAUAUGUAUUAUUGAAAUAUCUUCAUCAAUUCAAAUAUAUCCUCACCAUAACUUGGGAAUGAGUUUUUCCUAUU
RNA transcript from Benincasa hispida (wax gourd), 1149 nucleotides. It is a transcript of the gene named small nuclear ribonucleoprotein SmD1b, with no coding region annotated. NCBI's taxonomy places the organism in Eukaryota, Viridiplantae, Streptophyta, Magnoliopsida, Cucurbitales, Cucurbitaceae. The record is from RefSeq and is a predicted model, not a curated record.